This 31-nucleotide non-coding RNA is filed under the name Rattus norvegicus (Norway rat). The record is from RNAcentral. Lineage: Eukaryota; Metazoa; Chordata; Mammalia; Rodentia; Muridae.
UGGGCAGGUGUUUUCACAGCUCCAAAGGGAC